RNAcentral lists this RNase P RNA (271 nucleotides) under Sinocyclocheilus grahami. RNAcentral describes it as "Nuclear RNase P (ENSSGRG00000025897.1)". It matches the Rfam family "Nuclear RNase P". Rfam says of the family: Ribonuclease P (RNase P) is a ubiquitous endoribonuclease, found in archaea, bacteria and eukarya as well as chloroplasts and mitochondria. Its best characterised activity is the generation of mature 5'-ends of tRNAs by cleaving the 5'-leader elements of precursor-tRNAs. The record is from RNAcentral. Lineage: Eukaryota; Metazoa; Chordata; Actinopteri; Cypriniformes; Cyprinidae.
AGUAGGAAGUUCAUUGUAGAGGUUUCAAACGGAGUGUUAAUGACUUAUCAAAUCACCUCGGGGAAGGUCUGAGAUAAGAACCAAUCGCUAUCCCUACAGGACAUCAUAUGAACAAAUGAGCGAGCGCACAGGAAAAUGGGUCAGAAUGCAGAAUUGUCGCGCGAGACUUUAGAACGCAACAUAACGAGCCACCUGACGCGACCACCUGACGCAAUGAAUAAUUAACUGGCACAUGAUGCUAGAACCCAAUUCAGACUACUCUCCUACCACU